GAUGAACGCUAGCGACAGGCUUAACACAUGCAAGUCGAGGGGCAUCGCGGGCGUGGCAACACGCCUGGCGGCGACCGGCGCACUGGUGAGUAACACGUAUGCAACCUGCCCUCCACAGGGGGAUAACCCGCGGAAACGCGGCCUAAUACCCCGUACGCCCCGGUUCCGCAUGGGACUGGGGUGAAAGGUUCGCUCCGGUGGAGGAUGGGCAUGCGGCGCAUUAGCUUGUUGGCGGGGUGACGGCCCACCAAGGCGACGAUGCGUAGGGGUUCUGAGAGGAAGGUCCCCCACACUGGUACUGAGACACGGACCAGACUCC
This 319-nucleotide ribosomal RNA is filed under the name uncultured Bacteroidales bacterium. Its description in RNAcentral is "bacterial SSU rRNA". It matches the Rfam family "Bacterial small subunit ribosomal RNA", at positions 28 to 339 of the family's 1533-position model. Lineage: Bacteria; Pseudomonadati; Bacteroidota; Bacteroidia; Bacteroidales. The record is from RNAcentral.